AGGGGUGAAUGCUUAGUACGGCGAGUGAGCGGCAAAGCUCAAAUUUGAAAUCUGGUACCUUCGGUGCCCGAGUUGUAAUUUGGAGAGGGCAACUUUGGGGCCGUUCCUUGUCUAUGUUCCUUGGAACAGGACGUCAUAGAGGGUGAGAAUCCCGUGUGGCGAGGAGUGCGGUUCUUUGUAAAGUGCCUUCGAAGAGUCGAGUUGUUUGGGAAUGCAGCUCUAAGUGGGUGGUAAAUUCCAUCUAAAGCUAAAUAUUGGCGAGAGACCGAUAGCGAACAAGUACAGUGAUGGAAAGAUGAAAAGAACUUUGAAAAGAGAGUGAAAAAGUACGUGAAAUUGUUGAAAGGGAAGGGCAUUUGAUCAGACAUGGUGUUUUGUGCCCUCUGCUCCUUGUGGGUAGGGGAAUCUCGCAUUUCACUGGGCCAGCAUCAGUUUUGGUGGCAGGAUAAAUCCAUAGGAAUGUAGCUUGCCUCGGUAAGUAUUAUAGCCUGUGGGAAUACUGCCAGCUGGGACUGAGGACUGCGACGUAAUCAAGGAUGCUG
This 542-nucleotide ribosomal RNA is filed under the name Saccharomyces cerevisiae (brewer's yeast). Its description in RNAcentral is "partial large subunit ribosomal RNA". It matches the Rfam family "Eukaryotic large subunit ribosomal RNA", at positions 67 to 628 of the family's 3401-position model. Lineage: Eukaryota; Fungi; Ascomycota; Saccharomycetes; Saccharomycetales; Saccharomycetaceae. The record is from RNAcentral.